GCGUGGUGUACGACUGUGGGCCCCAGCGCGCUUGGAAUAAAAAUCCUCUUGCUGUUUGCAUCAAGACCGCUUCUCGUGAGUGAUUUGGGGUGUCGCCUCUUCCGAGCCCGGACGAGGGGGAUUGUUCUUUUACUGGCCUUUCAUUUGGUGCGUUGGCCGGGAAAUCCUGCGACCACCCCUUACACCCGAGAACCGACUUGGAGCCUUUGUUCUCUAGGCUCAAGGCGCUCGAGUGGGUGAGGCAACGAGCGUGGAAGCAGCUCCGGGAGGCCUACUCAGGAGAAGGAGACUUGCAAGUUCCACAUCGCUUCCAAGUGGGAGAUUCAGUCUAUGUUAGACGCCACCGUGCAGGAAACCUCGAGACUCGGUGGAAGGGCCCUUAUCUCGUACUUUUGACCACACCAACGGCUGUGAAAGUCGAAGGAAUCUCCACCUGGAUCCAUG
Sus scrofa (pig) is the source of this 444-nucleotide non-coding RNA. The record is from RefSeq and is a predicted model, not a curated record. NCBI's taxonomy places the organism in Eukaryota, Metazoa, Chordata, Mammalia, Artiodactyla, Suidae.